Homo sapiens (human) is the source of this 59-nucleotide microRNA precursor. The record is from Ensembl. NCBI's taxonomy places the organism in Eukaryota, Metazoa, Chordata, Mammalia, Primates, Hominidae.
GGGGCCAGGCAGGGAGGUGGGACCAUGGGGGCCUUGCUGUGUGACCACCGUUCCUGCAG